Molecule: ribosomal RNA, 564 nt
Filed under: uncultured bacterium
Lineage: Bacteria
Description: bacterial SSU rRNA
Rfam family: Bacterial small subunit ribosomal RNA
Source: RNAcentral
CCUACGGGAGGCAGCAGUGAGGAAUUUUCCGCAAUGGGCUAACGCCUGACGGAGCAAUGCCGCGUGGAGGAGGAAGGCCUGUGGGUCGUAAACUCCUUUUCUCAGAGAAGAAGAUCUGACGGUAUCUGAGGAAUAAGCAUCGGCUAACUCUGUGCCAGCAGCCGCGGUAAUACAGGGGAUGCAAGCGUUAUCCGGAAUUAUUGGGCGUAAAGCGUCCUGAGGUGGCUUACCCAGUCGACUGUGAAAGCUCAAGGCUCAACCUUGAAACGGCAGUCGAAACUUGUAAGCUUGAGUACGGUAGAGGCAGAGGGAAUUCCCGGAGGAGAGGUGAAAUUCGUAGAUAUCGGGAGGAAGGCCAAAGGCGAAAGCACUCUGCUGGGCCGAUUACUGACACUGACAGACGAAAGCUAGGGGAGCGAAAGGGAUUAGAUACCCUGUAGUCCUAGCCGUAAACGAUGGAUACUAAGUGUUGCGCGACUCAACUCGUGCAGUGCUGCAGCUAACGCGGUAAGUAUCCCGCCUGGGGAGUAUGCUCGCAAGAGUGAAACUUAAAUGAAUUGACGG